RNAcentral lists this ribosomal RNA (492 nucleotides) under uncultured bacterium. Its description in RNAcentral is "partial 16S ribosomal RNA". It matches the Rfam family "Bacterial small subunit ribosomal RNA", at positions 29 to 507 of the family's 1533-position model. The record is from RNAcentral.
AGUGAACGCUGGCGGUAGGCCUAACACAUGCAAGUCGGACGGCAGCACGGUAAGAGCUUGCUCUUACGGGUGGCGAGUGGCGGACGGGUGAGGAAUACAUCGGAAUCUACUUUUUCGUGGGGGAUAACGUAGGGAAACUUACGCUAAUACCGCAUACGACCUACGGGUGAAAGCAGGGGAUCUUCGGACCUUGCGCGAUUGAAUGAGCCGAUGUCGGAUUAGCUAGUUGGCGGGGUAAAGGCCCACCAAGGCGACGAUCCGUAGCUGGUCUGAGAGGAUGAUCAGCCACACUGGAACUGAGACACGGUCCAGACUCCUACGGGAGGCAGCAGUGGGGAAUAUUGGACAAUGGGCGCAAGCCUGAUCCAGCCAUACCGCGUGGGUGAAGAAGGCCUUCGGGUUGUAAAGCCCUUUUGUUGGGAAAGAAAAGCAGCAGGUUAAUACCCCGCUGUUCUGACGGUACCCAAAGAAUAAGCACCGGCUAACUUCGUG